RNAcentral lists this ribosomal RNA (264 nucleotides) under uncultured bacterium. RNAcentral's name for it is "partial 16S ribosomal RNA". It matches the Rfam family "Bacterial small subunit ribosomal RNA", at positions 793 to 1055 of the family's 1533-position model. The record is from RNAcentral.
GUCCACGCCGUAAACGAUGGGUACUAGGCGUCGGGGGAGCGACACCCUCGGUGCCGUCGCUAACGCAGUAAGUACCCCGCCUGGGGAGUACGGUCGCAAGACUGAAACUCAAAGGAAUUGACGGGGGCCCGCACAAGCGGUGGAGCAUGUGGUUUAAUUCGAAGCAACGCGAAGAACCUUACCUGGGCUUGACAUGCUGGUGAAAGCCGGUGGAAACAUCGGCCCCUCUUCGGAGCACCAGCAAAGGUGCUGCAUGGCUGUCGU